Molecule: ribosomal RNA, 551 nt
Filed under: Bifidobacterium longum subsp. infantis
Lineage: Bacteria; Bacillati; Actinomycetota; Actinomycetes; Bifidobacteriales; Bifidobacteriaceae
Also listed under: 1 other name
Description: bacterial SSU rRNA
Rfam family: Bacterial small subunit ribosomal RNA
Source: RNAcentral
UCUCCUGGAAACGGGUGGUAAUGCCGGAUGCUCCAGUUGAUCGCAUGGUCUUCUGGGAAAGCUUUCGCGGUAUGGGAUGGGGUCGCGUCCUAUCAGCUUGACGGCGGGGUAACGGCCCACCGUGGCUUCGACGGGUAGCCGGCCUGAGAGGGCGACCGGCCACAUUGGGACUGAGAUACGGCCCAGACUCCUACGGGAGGCAGCAGUGGGGAAUAUUGCACAAUGGGCGCAAGCCUGAUGCAGCGACGCCGCGUGAGGGAUGGAGGCCUUCGGGUUGUAAACCUCUUUUAUCGGGGAGCAAGCGAGAGUGAGUUUACCCGUUGAAUAAGCACCGGCUAACUACGUGCCAGCAGCCGCGGUAAUACGUAGGGUGCAAGCGUUAUCCGGAAUUAUUGGGCGUAAAGGGCUCGUAGGCGGUUCGUCGCGUCCGGUGUGAAAGUCCAUCGCUUAACGGUGGAUCCGCGCCGGGUACGGGCGGGCUUGAGUGCGGUAGGGGAGACUGGAAUUCCCGGUGUAACGGUGGAAUGUGUAGAUAUCGGGAAAGAACACCA